AACGAACGCUGGCGGCAGGCCUAACACAUGCAAGUCGAACGAGAAGCCACCUUCGGGUGGUGGACAGUGGCAGACGGGUGAGUAACGCGUGGGAACGUGCCUUUCGGUUCGGGAUAACCCAGGGAAACUUGGGCUAAUACCGGAUACGCCCUCCGGGGAAAGAUUCAUUGCCGAAAGAUCGGCCCGCGUCGGAUUAGCUAGUUGGUGGGGUAAAAGCCUACCAAGGCGACGAUCCGUAGCUGGUCUGAGAGGANGACCAGCCACACUGGGACUGAGACACGGCCCAGACUCCUACGGGAGGCAGCAGUGGGGAAUAUUGGACAAUGGGCGCAAGCCUGAUCCAGCCAUGCCGCGUGGGUGAAGAAGGCCCUAGGGUUCGUUAAACCCCUUUCAGCGGGGAAGAUAAUGACGGUACCCGCAGAAGAACGCCCCGG
Molecule: ribosomal RNA, 434 nt
Filed under: uncultured bacterium
Lineage: Bacteria
Description: bacterial SSU rRNA
Rfam family: Bacterial small subunit ribosomal RNA
Source: RNAcentral